This 447-nucleotide ribosomal RNA is filed under the name uncultured bacterium. RNAcentral's name for it is "bacterial SSU rRNA". It matches the Rfam family "Bacterial small subunit ribosomal RNA", at positions 331 to 795 of the family's 1533-position model. The record is from RNAcentral.
CCAGACUCCUACGGGAGGCAGCAGUGGGGAAUAUUGCACAAUGGGGGAAACCCUGAUGCAGCGACGCCGCGUGAGUGAAGAAGUAUUUCGGUAUGUAAAGCUCUAUCAGCAGGGAAGAAAAUGACGGUACCUGACUAAGAAGCCCCGGCUGACUACGUGCCAGCAGCCGCGGUAAUACGUAGGGGGCAAGCGUUAUCCGGAUUUACUGGGUGUAAAGGGAGCGUAGACGGCGAUGCAAGUCUGAAGUGAAAGCCCGGGGCUCAACUCCGGGACUGCUUUUGAAACUGUUGAACUAGAUUGCAGGAGAGGUAAGUGGAAUUCCUAGUGUAGCGGUGAAAUGCGUAGAUAUUAGGAGGAAUACCAGUGGCGAAGGCGGCUUACUGGACUGUAAAUGACGCUGAGGCUCGAAAGCGUGGGGAGCAAACAGGAUUAGAUACCCCGGUAUCA